RNAcentral lists this ribosomal RNA (466 nucleotides) under uncultured bacterium. Its description in RNAcentral is "partial 16S ribosomal RNA". It matches the Rfam family "Bacterial small subunit ribosomal RNA", at positions 28 to 507 of the family's 1533-position model. The record is from RNAcentral.
GAUGAACGCUGGCGGCGUGCUUAACACAUGCAAGUCGAACGGAAAGGCUCCUGCUUGCAGGGGUACUCGAGUAGCGAACGGGUGAGUAACCCGAGAGCGAUCUGCCCUGCACUUAGGGAUAAGCCUAGGCAACUGGGUCUAAUACCGGAUAGGACGAUGGUUUGGAUGCCAUUGUGGACAGUUAUUUCGGUGUGGGAUGAGCUCGCGGCCUAUCGGCUUGGUGGUGGGGUAAUGGGCUACCAAGGCGUCGACGGGUAGCCGGCCUGAGCGGGUGGACGGCCACAUUGGGACUUAGAUACGGGCCAGACUCCUACGGGAGGCAGCAGUGGGGAAUAAUGCACAAUGGGAGCAAGACUGAUGCAGCGACGCCGCGUGGGGGAUGACGGCCUUCGGGUUAUAAACACCGUUUGCUAGGGACGAAGCGCAAGUGACGGUACCUGGAGAAGAAGCACCGGCUAACUACGUG